UACGAAGGGUGCAAGCGUUAAUCGGAAUUACUGGGCGUAAAGCGUGCGUAGGCGGUUUCUUAAGUCUGCUGUGAAAGCCCCGGGCUCAACCUGGGAAUGGCGGUGGAUACUGAGAAGCUGGAGUACGGUAGAGGAAGGUGGAAUUCCCGGUGUAGCGGUGAAAUGCGUAGAGAUCGGGAGGAACACCUGCGGCGAAGGCGGGUUGCUGGGCCGACACUGACGCUGAUGAGCGAAAGCUAGGGGAGCAAACGGG
RNAcentral lists this ribosomal RNA (253 nucleotides) under uncultured bacterium. RNAcentral's name for it is "partial 16S ribosomal RNA". It matches the Rfam family "Bacterial small subunit ribosomal RNA", at positions 524 to 776 of the family's 1533-position model. The record is from RNAcentral.